UACGUAGGGGCUAGCGUUAUCCGGAAUUACUGGGCGUAAAGGGUGCGUAGGUGGUUUCUUAAGUCAGAGGUGAAAGGCUACGGCUCAACCGUAGUAAGCCUUUGAAACUGGGAAACUUGAGUGCAGGAGAGGAGAGUGGAAUUCCACGUGGAGCGGUGAAAUGCGUAGAGAUGUGGAGGAACACCAGUGGCGAAGGCGACUCUCUGGUCUGUAACUGACACUGAGGCACGAAAGCGUGGGGAGCAAACAGGAUUAGAUACCCGCGUAGUCCCUGA
RNAcentral lists this ribosomal RNA (275 nucleotides) under uncultured prokaryote. Its description in RNAcentral is "partial 16S ribosomal RNA". It matches the Rfam family "Bacterial small subunit ribosomal RNA", at positions 524 to 800 of the family's 1533-position model. The record is from RNAcentral.